GUGGGGAAUAUUGCACAAUGGGGAAACCCUGAUGCAGCGACGCCGCGUGAGUGAAGAAGUAUUUCGGUACGUAAAGCUCUAUCAGCAAGGAAGAAAAUGACGGUACUUGACUAAGAAGCCCCGGCUAACUACGUGCCAGCAGCCGCGGUAAUACGUAGGGGGCAAGCGUUAUCCGGAUUUACUGGGUGUAAAGGGAGCGUAGACGGUAUGGUAAGUCAGAUGUGAAAGCCCGGGGCUCAACCCCGGGACUGCAUUUGAAACUAUCAGACUAGAGUGCAGGAGAGGUAAGUGGAAUUCCUAGUGUAGCGGUGAAAUGCGUAGAUAUUAGGAGGAACACCAGUGGCGAAGGCGAUCUGCUGGACAGCAACUGACGCUGAGGCGCGAAAGCGUGGGGAGCAAACAGGAUUAGAUACCCUGGUAGUCC
This 424-nucleotide ribosomal RNA is filed under the name uncultured bacterium. Its description in RNAcentral is "partial 16S ribosomal RNA". It matches the Rfam family "Bacterial small subunit ribosomal RNA", at positions 354 to 796 of the family's 1533-position model. The record is from RNAcentral.